AACGAACGCUGGCGGCAUGCCUAACACAUGCAAGUCGAACGUGAUCCGGGGCUUCGGCUCCGGUGAAAGUGGCGGACGGGUGAGUAACGCGUGGGAACCUGCCCAGUGGUAGGGGAUAACCGCGGGAAACUGCGGCUAAUACCCUAUGCGCCCUAUGGGGCAAAGAUUUAUCGCCAUUGGAGGGGCCCGCGUCGGAUUAGGUAGUUGGUGAGGUAACGGCUCACCAAGCCUUCGAUCCGUAGCNGGUCUGAGAGGAUGAUCAGCCACACUGGGACUGAGACACGGCCCAGACUCCUACGGGAGGCAGCAGUGGGGAGUAUUGGACAAUGGGGCAACCCUGAUCCAGCAAUGCCGCGUGAGUGAUGAAGGCCUUAGGGUUGUAAAGCUCUUUCGGCGGGAAGAUGAUGACGUACCCGCAGAAGAAGCCCCGGCUAACUUCGUGCCAGCCGCCGCAGUAAG
This 459-nucleotide ribosomal RNA is filed under the name uncultured bacterium. RNAcentral's name for it is "bacterial SSU rRNA". It matches the Rfam family "Bacterial small subunit ribosomal RNA", at positions 29 to 524 of the family's 1533-position model. The record is from RNAcentral.